CAGUUCGGAUCGGAGUCUGNAACCCGACUCCGUGAAGCUGGAUUCGCUAGUAAUCGCGCAUCAGCCAUGGCGCGGUGAAUACGCUCCCGGGCCUUGUACACACCGCCCGUCAAGCCAUGGGAGCCGGGGGUGCUUGAAGUGCGUCGCCGCAAGGCGCGCCCUAGAGCAAAACCGGUGACUGGGACUAAGUCGUAACAAGGUAUC
RNAcentral lists this ribosomal RNA (204 nucleotides) under uncultured bacterium. RNAcentral describes it as "partial 16S ribosomal RNA". It matches the Rfam family "Bacterial small subunit ribosomal RNA", at positions 1289 to 1500 of the family's 1533-position model. The record is from RNAcentral.